Molecule: ribosomal RNA, 250 nt
Filed under: uncultured bacterium
Lineage: Bacteria
Description: partial 16S ribosomal RNA
Rfam family: Bacterial small subunit ribosomal RNA
Source: RNAcentral
UACAGAGGCCCCGAGCGUUAAUCGGAAUCACUGGGCUUAAAGGGUGCGCAGGCGGAUCGGAAAGUGUUUUGUGAAAUCCCUCGGCUCAACCGGGGAACAGCAGGGCAUACUACCGAUCUUGAGACAGGUAGGGGUCGAUGGAACCAUGGGUGGAGCGGUGAAAUGCGUAGAUAUCCAUGGGAACGCCAAUGGCGAAGGCAGUCGACUGGGCCUGUUCUGACGCUCAGGCACGAAAGCGUGGGGAGCAAAC